CCUACGGGUGGCAGCAGUGAGGAAUAUUGGUCAAUGGACGAGAGUCUGAACCAGCCAAGUAGCGUGAAGGAUGACUGCCCUAUGGGUUGUAAACUUCUUUUAUAUGGGAAUAAAAUGGUCCACGUGUGGGUUUUUGUAUGUACCAUAUGUAUAAGGAUCGGCUAAGUCCGUGACAGCAGACGCGGUAAUACGGAGGAUCCGAGCGUUAUCCGGAUUUAUUGGGUUUAAAGGGCGCGUAGGUGGAUUGUUAAGUCAGUUGUGAAAGUUUGCGGCUCAACCGUAAAAUUGCAGUUGAAACUGGCAGUCUUGAGUACAGUAGAGGUGGGCGGAAUUCGUGGUGUAGCGGUGAAAUGCUUAGAUAUCACGAAGAACUCCGAUUGCGAAGGCAGCUCACUGGACUGCAACUGACACUGAGGCUCGAAAGUGUGGGUAUCAAACAGGAUUAGAUACCCCAGUAGUC
Molecule: ribosomal RNA, 460 nt
Filed under: uncultured bacterium
Lineage: Bacteria
Description: partial 16S ribosomal RNA
Rfam family: Bacterial small subunit ribosomal RNA
Source: RNAcentral